RNAcentral lists this ribosomal RNA (704 nucleotides) under uncultured Alteromonadaceae bacterium. RNAcentral describes it as "bacterial SSU rRNA". It matches the Rfam family "Bacterial small subunit ribosomal RNA", at positions 62 to 754 of the family's 1533-position model. Lineage: Bacteria; Pseudomonadati; Pseudomonadota; Gammaproteobacteria; Alteromonadales; Alteromonadaceae. The record is from RNAcentral.
UCGAACGGUAACAGAUCUAGCUUGCUAGAUGCUGACGAGUGGCGCACGGGUGCGUAACGCGUAUGCAAUCUACCUAUAACUGAGGAAUAGCCCAGAGAAAUUUGGAUUAAAACCUCAUAAUAUUAUUAUUUGGCAUCAUUUAAUAAUUAAAACUCCGGUGGUUAUAGAUGAGCAUGCGUUCUAUUAGCUUGUUGGUGAGGUAAAAGCUCACCAAGGCAACGAUAGAUAGGGGGCCUGAAAGGGUGACCCCCCACACUGGUACUGAGACACGGACCAGACUCCUACGGGAGGCAGCAGUGAGGAAUAUUGCACAAUGGGGGAAACCCUGAUGCAGCCAUGCCGCGUGUGUGAAGAAGGCCUUCGGGUUGUAAAGCACUUUCAGUUGUGAGGAAAAGUUAGUAGUUAAUACCUGCUAGCCGUGACGUUAACAACAGAAGAAGCACCGGCUAACUCCGUGCCAGCAGCCGCGGUAAUACGGAGGGUGCGAGCGUUAAUCGGAAUUACUGGGCGUAAAGCGCACGCAGGCGGUUUGUUAAGCUAGAUGUGAAAGCCCCGGGCUCAACCUGGGAUGGUCAUUUAGAACUGGCAGACUAGAGUCUUGGAGAGGGGAGUGGAAUUCCAGGUGUAGCGGUGAAAUGCGUAGAUAUCUGGAGGAACAUCAGUGGCGAAGGCGACUCCCUGGCCAAAGACUGACGCUCAUGUGC